Molecule: long non-coding RNA, 1087 nt
Organism: Fukomys damarensis (Damara mole-rat)
Lineage: Eukaryota; Metazoa; Chordata; Mammalia; Rodentia; Bathyergidae
Exons: 3
Source: RefSeq, a predicted model, not a curated record
GUGGAACUCGUCCCAAACUGAAGGGACCCACAACCGAGAAAGAAAGGGGGAGCCCCGUCCGACGGAACUGCGUCAUACAGAUGCGAAUGACGUCACUUCCGCUUCCGGCAAAGGCGGGUGCCGGCUCUGAGCCCGUUCCCUCUGUAGAGUUGGACCGCAUCUGGCUCAAAGUCUAGUUUGCUCCUCCUGCCUGGACAGGGACCGGUAUGACUACACGGAAACCCUCACCGACGAGUUCCUGGAUCGCAAUGGAGUUGACAGGGACUCCAGGCAGUACGGAUCAAGUGGGUAUUGAACGGGCAAAGAUAAACUGUGUCCAUCUGUAGCAGACAUCCCUGCCCAGGACCAGCAGACGAUAAACGGCACAUGCUCCUUGCUUUCCGUAACUUGGCUGUGCCGUUUUAUGUCAAGAGUCAGACCGAAGUCCUGCGUGCCUCCAAUGGGAACGUCAGACAGCGGCGUGGGAGCGUGGUGGUCCUCCACCAGAGGCCGCCACAGGAACCUCGGCCCUGGUCUGCGAAGUGUCAGGGCUCCGCUGAGUUCUGUGCAGUGAGGUCAGCAUGACCACAGCUGAAAUCCUUUCCCCUGACCUGAUGGCUUGCUGGCUAAUUGCACCCAGUUCCAGUGCCUGUUUGUUCUAUCCAAACAAGGAGACCUGUUUUGAAGCUCUGAGGGAUGUACAGGCCGAGGACCCCCCAGAUGAAGAGAAGAGCUGAACAUUCGGAUAGAAAGACUUGCGGCUCCACCUUUUCACCUGGAUUCAGAACUAUGAAUGCCCUAGAGGUCUAAGAAUGAACGUUAUCUUUCUACUGGAAUGCUGUGUAGCAAAAGAAAAGGAAAUCACCGCAGCGUGCACCUGUCAUCCCAGUAAUCUGGGAGGCUGAAGCAGGAGGAUGGCAAUCUGAAACUCAGGCUGGGCAGUUCUGUGAGACUCAGUCUCAAAAAAAAAGUUAAAAAAAAAUAUAUAUAUAUAUAAAGCGGGGGGAGGGCUGGGGUGUAGCUCAGUGCCACAAAAUCACAAGAACAAUGAUUAGAAGGGAAAGGGAAAGGAAGAAGCGGCUUUCUGACACCGCAGCUCACCUGAGCU